Anopheles stephensi (Asian malaria mosquito) is the source of this 4228-nucleotide long non-coding RNA. RefSeq lists it as uncharacterized. The record is from RefSeq and is a predicted model, not a curated record. The transcript is spliced from 2 exons. Lineage: Eukaryota; Metazoa; Arthropoda; Insecta; Diptera; Culicidae.
GCAUCUUUUGAUGAUGAGUGUUCUCGACCAGUAGUGUCGACAGCCGAUGUGAUGCAGCGAGGACAAUCGGAUGUUUGGUUGACUCUGGUAUGUUGGCGUUACCAAGCCGGCCACCGACGCGUAACACACCCUUUGGGUCGAGGUCGUCCAUCUCCUCCGCAAACGAAUCAUGUUGUGCCCGUUGACACAACCUCAGUUCCGCAUCCUGCAACUCCGCCGCUGUAAGCGGUGGAACGGAACUCAAUAGCGUCUUCAUGUCCGUAUUCCGCUUGACGCUGUUGAUCGACGUUGACUUGCUCGCCCUGAGGUUGGAGAGGAUUCGCAAGCAAUAAGCAACAACCCUUCGCAACUUGCCGUACGAGGAAUAACGUGCGAAAAGUGUGUUGCUAAAGUCACACGUCGUAGAGGUGAUGACUAUUUUGGACACCGCUAACCGCUCCUCGAUGUCCGUCUCGUUCUCUUUCGCGAGUACUGGUUCCACCGGCCACUCUUCCUGUCCGUAGGACAACCAACGUGGCCCCUGCCACCAUCGCUCGCACUGCAGUAACUCUUCGGGCCUCAACCCGCGCGAUAUAUCAUCCGCCGGGUUAUCGCUACCAGGAACAUGACGCCAGCAUGAAAUUCGGGUCUCCUCUUGUAUUUGCGCCACCCUGUUGGCGACGAACGGCUUCCAUCGACGAGGUGAUGAUUUGAGCCAAUGCAUGACGGUCAUGGAAUCUGUCCAACAGAUAACCGUCGACGAUGAAACGUUGAGUGCUCGAAUCACCUUCUGGAACAGGUGUACUGCUAGCCGUGCUGCACACAGUUCUAAUCUGGCGAUGGAAUGUGUGUUUGAGAGGGACACCACCUUGGACUUAGCCGCUAGCAAUCUAACCGUAGAGCCCCGUGUCGAAUCCGAGCGUACGUAACAACAUGCUCCAUAGGCUCCUUGAGAUGCAUCCGCGAAGAGAUGCAGCUGCAGCCUUUCCGGAUUGCUAUGUGCCACCAAUCGAGGUACUCGCAGUUCGCGUAACACAUAGAGCGUUGAGUGGAACCUCCUCCACUCUUCCUGAAUCUCCGCUGGUAGCGGACGAUUCCAGUCCAGCGUCUUCCCCUCGUGCUUCAAUCCCCAUAGGCGUUGCAGGAACAUCUUGGCGAGUAUCACCGUUGGUCCCAACAGACCAAGAGGAUCGAAGAUUCUGGCCGUGUAUGAUAACACCAGGCAUCGUGUCAGCUCUUCUGCAGGGGUUGGCAAAUCCACCCGAAACCGAAACAUAUCGUUGGAUGGUUCCCAAACCAAGCCCAGUGUUGAGACUGCUUGGUCUUCUUGCCAGUCUAGAACUGAUUUGAUGGCCAAAUCGGCGCUUGGAACACCAUCAAGCGCAGCCGGUAUGUUCGACGCCCAUUUCUUUAGUGAGAAGCCCGCUGAUUCCAACAUCGAUGAUAUCUGUUUACGUGUUUCGAUGGCUUCUGAAACACUUGCUGCACCAGUCAGCAAGUCAUCCACAUAAAAAUCAUGCAGAACCGGGUCUACGGCUUUGGGGUACUCCUGUUUGUUGUCAUGCGCAAUUUGUUGCAACGUACGAGUGGCCAAGAACGGAGCUGAUGCGGUACCGUAGGUCACCGUUUGUAGCUCAUACGUUGCUAUUGGUUCGGUUGAACGUUCCCGAUAUCGAAUGCGUAGCAGUUUUCGAUCUUUAUCAUAAUGCAGGAUCUGCCUGUACAUCUUCUCCACGUCUGCCACUAAUGCGACAGAAUGCUUCCUGAAUCGCAAGAUGAUUGUGAGCAGAUCAUCUUGUACCGUUGGGCCAAUGAGUAAGGUGUCGUUCAAGGAGUAGCCCGAUGUUGUUUUGCAGGAUGCAUCGAAAACAACACGAACCUUGGUUGAAGAACUCGACUCCUUAAUCACGGCAUGAUGAGGGAUGUAGCAGUGCGGCUCACUAUCGUCGACAGGUUCGGUGAGUUUCACCAUGUGUCCCAACUGCUCGUAUUCUACCAUGAACCUUUUAUACUCCUUUUCCAUUACAGGAUUGGCCUUUAGCCGCCGUUCAACUCCCAACAAACGCCGAUCUGCUAUAUCCCUUGACAAACCCAGGACUUUCUCCGGUUUGGCAUUUCGCGGCAACGACACGACAUAGCGACCUUGAGCAUUUCGCGUAGUCGUGGAAGCAUAAUACUUGUCACACAGGUCUUCUUCCAAAGACAACGCAGGGCCUUCUAAAAUGCUCUCAGCCUCCCAGAACCGUUGUAGCGAAGCUGCAAUGUCACCUUCAUUGGUUGCCAGGUGACACAACCGCAAAUUGGGCCCAGAACAACGGGAAGUAUUCCCAGAGAUCGCCCAUCCAAACGGUGUCUCCAACAACCAUGGUUUUCCUUCGCCCAGUGACCGCUUCCUUCCAGUAUGUAGUUCCCAAAAUGUAUCACCGCCAAUAACCACAUCUACCUUUCCGGGGACGUGGAAAGUAGGAUCAGCCAAUUUUAUAUUCGGGAGGAACCACGACUCUACGUUUAUCGGUGUGGUUGGAAGAUCUGCCGACGGAGUCUUUAGUACAAGAAAUUCCAUUGUUGUAGAGAAGUCAGCCCCUUUCGAUUGAACGGCCGCUGUAAUGGAACCCUUGACGUGCUGCAUGUGUUGCCCUAUACCAGAUAUGGCAACGUCUACCUUUGACAACGGUGUUAGCAAUCGCUGCGCCAUGGUUUCGGAAACGAAAUUGCACAUCGAUCCCGAAUCGAGAAGUGCCCGCGCAUCAUACGUGUUGCCGUGAUCAUCCACGAGCUGGAGAAGGACCGUUUCCAGAAGAACCAUUUCCUCAUCGGAUUGCGCAGCCAUGGUCACCGCUGAAUUCACAUGUAGUAGUGAAUGGUGUCGUGCCUUGCACGUAGUGCACCGGUACGACGAGCGGCAAUCCCUCACUUGGUGAUGACGAUUCAGGCAAUUCCAACACAGCCGUUCUCGUGUUGCGAUUUCCCGCCGUUGGGGUACGUCCUUAUUUGCGAAUUCCGGACAAGCCCGCAAAUGGUGAGCCUCCGUGCAACCAAAAAUGCACGGUGGUUGUGGUGGCUGUGGCGCUGACAUAUGCGGUAUUGCUCUUCCUGCCGUCGCUGUGUUACCCACCAACCUUGGUCUAUGUUCGAAUAUUUUUUUGCUACCGGCCACCAUUCUCGUAUUUAGUUCAGUAUGGGAAAACUCACGCGUUGACUUAAGGAUUCGGACACGACUAUGAAGGAAAUCUACUAACUCCUUGUACUUAUCUUUCGUGUGCUGUGCUGAAUGGUUUUCCCAAGCCAAGAUGGUCGCCGUGUCCAGUUUCAUCAGCAAGAGGUUGGCGAGCGGCGUAUCCCAGUACUCAACGGGCUCGUCGAGUUUCUUCAGCCCGUUCACGUGCCGCGUGAAUUCAUCCACGAGCUGCGCCAAUUCAUCCACCCUUUCACGGCUCACUGUCGGUAGGUGAUGAAUCUUCCGGUAGUACUCGCGAACAAGCGUACGCGGGUUGUCGUAUCGCUUCAGCAAGGCAGUCCACGUCACGUCGUAAUUAUCUGCUGUUAAGGUGGUAUGCUCGAAGAGCAAUCCAGCAUCACCCUUUAACGACGACAGCAGAUAUUGCAGCUUCAUGAUGUUAGGAAUGUCCGCGGAAGAAUCAAUCAUAGCUACAAAUCGGUCCCGGAAAGUAAGCCACUUGGUAGAAUCACCAUCAAACGUAGGUAAUUCGAUUUUCGGCAGACGCACAUUCACAGCACUCGAUCGUCCCGUAGUAUUCAUCGUUGAAUUCGCGAUCAACACCGAAUCACUCACACCCGGGUUCGAGGGUUGCCUUCGUAGAAGGAAACCCUUCACGCGUCGGUAACGCGUGUCCAUUUCGCAACGUUCCGCCACAUACGUUUCCGCCCCAUCCUCAUCUAGCUCCGAAACUUUCGCGCUUGCCUGGAGAAAAUCUUCGUAAUACCUUUCCAGCUGGUCUAGACACACUGAUACUUCACUCACUCUAUCAUCGGUAUAUUCACUGGUGAACUGUUCCACGGUUUUAAUUAGCUCGGCAGCUUGGCGUUUUUUCAGUUGAAACGCUUUUAAUUGUUUCGCCAUUUUCUCUUUGAAUUUUUGGCGCGUAGGAUAAUCUCACUGUAACUUGGAUGCAACUUGUACGCAAAACCAAAUUUCGAAUGGCGCAAAUUUGAAAACGCAAUGGGUGUCGUUGCAGUUAUGGGUGCCAAAUUUGAAAUGGCGUGGGUGGCGUCGGUUUUCUUACGCGUU